ACGAACGCUGGCGGCGCGCUUAACACAUGCAAGUCGAACGAGAACCUCGGAGCUUGCUCCGGGGGGAGAGUGGCGAACGGGUGAGGAACACGUGAGAAACCUGCCCCGAAGACCGGGAUAACACCGGGAAACCGGUGCUAAUACCGGAUGCCCUCACGGGAUCGCAUGGUCCCAUGAGGAAAUGGAUUCCGCUUCGGGAUGGUCUCGCGGCCUAUCAGCUUGUUGGUGGGGUAACGGCCCACCAAGGCUUCGACGGGUAGCUGGUCUGAGAGGAUGUCCAGCCACACUGGGACUGAGACACGGCCCAGACUCCUACGGGAGGCAGCAGUGGGGAAUCUUGCACAAUGGGCGAAAGCCUGAUGCAGCGACGCCGCGUGCGGGAUGACGGCCCUCGGGUUGUAAACCGCUUUCAGCAGGGACGAAACUGACGGUACCUGCAGAAGAAGCCCCGGCCAACUACGU
Molecule: ribosomal RNA, 462 nt
Filed under: uncultured bacterium
Lineage: Bacteria
Description: bacterial SSU rRNA
Rfam family: Bacterial small subunit ribosomal RNA
Source: RNAcentral